GACGAACGCUGGCGGCGUGCCUAAUACAUGCAAGUCGAACGCAUUUUCUUUCACCGUAGCUUGCUACACCGACAGAAAAUGAGUGGCGAACGGGUGAGUAACACGUGGGUAACCUGCCCAUCAGCGGGGGAUAACACUUGGAAACAGGUGCUAAUACCGCAUAAUUCCAUUUACUGCAUGGUAGAUGGAUGAAAGGCGCUUUUGCGUCACUGAUGGAUGGACCCGCGGUGCAUUAGCUAGUUGGUGGGGUAACGGCCUACCAAGGCUGCGAUGCAUAGCCGACCUGAGAGGGUGAUCGGCCACACUGGGACUGAGACACGGCCCAGACUCCUACGGGAGGCAGCAGUAGGGAAUCUUCGGCAAUGGACGCAAGUCUGACCGAGCAACGCCGCGGGAGUGAAGAAGGUUGUCGGAUCGUAAAACUCUGUUGUUAGAAAAGAACAAGGAUGAGAGUGGAAAGUUCAUCCCUUGACGGUAGCUAACCAGAAAGCCACGGCUAACUACGUG
RNAcentral lists this ribosomal RNA (507 nucleotides) under uncultured bacterium. RNAcentral describes it as "partial 16S ribosomal RNA". It matches the Rfam family "Bacterial small subunit ribosomal RNA", at positions 28 to 507 of the family's 1533-position model. The record is from RNAcentral.